AACGAACGCUGGCGGCAUGCCUAACACAUGCAAGUCGAACGAGACCUUCGGGUCUGGUGGCGCACGGGUGCGUAACGCGUGGGAACCUGCCCUUAGGUUCGGAAUAACUCCCCGAAAGGGGUGCUAAUACCGGAUAAUGUCUUCGGACCAAAGAUUUAUCGCCUUUGGAUGGGCCCGCGUUGGAUUAGCUAGUUGGUAGGGUAAAAGCCUACCAAGGCGACGAUCCAUAGCUGGUCUGAGAGGAUGAUCAGCCACACUGGGACUGAGACACGGCCCAGACUCCUACGGGAGGCAGCAGUGGGGAAUAUUGGACAAUGGGCGAAAGCCUGAUCCAGCAACGCCGCGUGAGUGAUGAAGGCCUUAGGGUUGUAAAGCUCUUUUACCCGGGAUGAUAAUGACAGUACCGGGAGAAUAAGCUCCGGCUAACUCCGUG
This 433-nucleotide ribosomal RNA is filed under the name uncultured bacterium. Its description in RNAcentral is "partial 16S ribosomal RNA". It matches the Rfam family "Bacterial small subunit ribosomal RNA", at positions 29 to 507 of the family's 1533-position model. The record is from RNAcentral.